Long non-coding RNA from Sinocyclocheilus grahami, 2103 nucleotides. Ensembl annotates it as C-X-C motif chemokine 9-like. NCBI's taxonomy places the organism in Eukaryota, Metazoa, Chordata, Actinopteri, Cypriniformes, Cyprinidae. The record is from Ensembl.
AACAGGAAAUACUUUAAGGAGGGAAAGUGAGGAAGAACAAGAGUACCGUUCUGUGCAAACACACUCGAGAGACAUUCUUGUGAAUGACACAGCUUUAGAGAAAUGGCUUUCAGGACUCUGCAAUCAAAUGUCUGCCUGCUUCUCCUAAUCUCAAUCUGUUUACACUUCAUCACAGGUACAGUAGCAUAUUUAAAUACUUAUCAGGACAGUUUACAGAUUUUUGUCAGAUAUCGGUCAUGGAGGUGAUGUGGGUUUACACAUGGUUUUAUGUUUCUGGCUUUAUUUUUAGAUAACGGGACCACUGCAAUGUCCCAUCGUGAAAAAUGUGAGUGUGUUGAGGAAACUGGCUCAGUGCAAUGGAGAAAAGUUACAGACUACACGAUCAGACAGAAAGAACCUCUUUGCAACAAGGUUCAAAUCAUACUCCAGCUGCCAGGUAAACAAGCUUGUCUAAAUCCAGACUCCAAGCAGGGGGAAAAACUGCAAAAAUGCUGGAAAAAGAUUAAAUUCAACACACAGAGGAGGAAGGUCUGUCUGCAGCUCAAGAAGAAGAAUAGACCAAAAAAGCCCAAGAGGCUGUAAUUCAACAGUCUCUACCUUUUCUGUAUAGAAAGACUAUGGGCCCUAUUUUAACGAUCCAAGCGCAUGGUCUAAAGUGCACGGCGCAACUGCACUUAAAGGGAUAGUUCACCCAAAAAUGAAAAUUUGAUGUUUAUCUGCUUACCCCCAGGGUAUCCAAGAUGUAGGUGACUUUGUUUCUUCAGUAGAACACAAACGAAGAUUUUUAACACAAACCGUUGCAGUCUGUCAGUCUUAUAAUGGAGGUGAAUGGGAAUCACGGCUAAAACAUGCAAUAAAACAAAAAAAAAACACACACCAAAAAAAACAAAUUAAACGCUGCGGCUCGUGACGAUACAUUGAUGUGUAAAGACACAAAACGAUCGGUCUGUGCAAGAAAAUGAACAGUAUUUACAUAUUAUUUUUACCUCUGAUUCACGCAAUGUCCGAACUCUUCCAACUGUCCUGAGCGCGUUCUCAACAGCAGGUCCACUUGAGAGAUAGGUGGUGGUAAUCCACUUUUGUUUAAGGACGGGAAAAAUGGUCGGCGCGCCCCAUGCAUGGUCUAAAAGGGUUGUCCCUAUUCUCUCAAUAAGUAAUGUGUGUGUUUUGGGCGUAAAGUGCCACAAACCAAUCAGAGUUUCAUCUCCCAUUCCCUUUAAAAGCCAGUUGCGCUCGCGCAAUGGUGGAUUCGCUAUUUACAUGGCGGAAUUAGCAAGCGGAAAAACUGAACGCUUCUUUAGUGAGGGAACGGAUCUGUUUGUGUGCGUAAUUCUGAUACAUGCAAAGACUAUCCAUUAUGACAUGUAGGCAUUUUUAUAUUUAUGUACACAAUAAUAAUCUUUUACAUUUUAAUGCUUUAAUUUUUCAUUUAAAAAAAUGUUUGUGCUGCUGCGCAUCCCUGUGUGUGUAAUAAGCAACGUGUACGCACGUUGUUCACCCGCCUAUAGGCGCAUAUUGCUAACACCAUUAUGACAUGCAGGCAUUUUUAUAUUUAUGUACACAAUAAUAAUCUUUUACAUUUUAAUGCUUUAAUUUUUCAUUUUUAAAAAUGUUUGUGUGCUGCUGCGCAUCCCUGUGUGUGUAAUAAGCAACGCGUACGCACGUUGUUCACCCGCCUAUAGGCGCAUAUUGCUAACACGCUCUUUAAAUAACAAAAAAAUAAAUAUAAAUAUUGCGCCAGACUUUAGACCAGUUUUUUGUUGGUCAAUGGCGCAGUCUAUUUCAGUUGCCUCAAAAUAGCAACGCGCCAGCAAUGUGUCUGAACACACCUCGUUUUCAGACCAGCACACAUAUGAGCUCACGAAUGAGUGCAAAUGCAUUUGCUAUUUAAACAACGUGGCGCAAGACGUGAAAAUGACAACUGCGUCGGGCUGAAACUAGCAGAAAAACUCUUGCGUCGCGCCUGGCGCCGCAUUGCGCCAGGUGUAUGACAGGGCCCUAUGUGUCUUUGACAUUUAUCCUGCCUGCUUUUUAUUUGCACAGAUAAAUGAUAUAUGUAUUAUGUAGAUGGGAUUUGUAUAUAUUUUGUACCGUUUUUUUUCU